UACGGAGGGUGCGAGCGUUGUCCGGAAUCACUGGGCGUAAAGGGCGCGUAGGCGGCCCGGCAAGUCAACGGUGAAAGCUUGGGGCUCAACCCCGAGUCGGCCGUCGAUACUUCCGGGCUGGAGCACUGUAGAGGCAGGUGGAAUUCCGGGUGUAGCGGUGGAAUGCGUAGAGAUCGGCAGGAACACCCAGGGGGAAACCAGCGGACUGGGCAUCAGCUGACGCUCAGGUGCGACAGCGUGGGGAGCGAACCGG
This 253-nucleotide ribosomal RNA is filed under the name uncultured bacterium. Its description in RNAcentral is "partial 16S ribosomal RNA". It matches the Rfam family "Bacterial small subunit ribosomal RNA", at positions 524 to 776 of the family's 1533-position model. The record is from RNAcentral.